ACAUAUCAGUAAAAUGAUCAUUGGACUGUUCAUUUUAUUUUAACAACAUAUGUACUAAAAAKAAUUUUGACAACAAAYAUAUAUCAGCUGUAGCAGCAUCAAAUGAAUUCUGGCAUUUUACACAUAGUCCACCAGGAUGCGCCAACACAAAAGUCAGAGACUUUCACAUGGUGUUUCAACACUUGGUGCCCCACAUCAUAUACAUUUAUCCUUUUUACCUGCUACCUGCUUUUUACCUGGUAUUUGUCUCCAGUAGUGAUGAACACUGGGCAGUUCUACCAUGAAAAACUGUACAAACAUUCCAGUGGUUAGAUGAAAAUUAAAUCUAAAUUAAGGGUUGUAAGGUAGCAAAACCAAAAGGUGUUUGAAACCUGCAGUCUGUUCCUUCUGACGUUUCAUUCUGCUGCAAGAAGCCCAAACUUUUCUGACRAAUGGGAAGUCUCACUGCUGUCCUUAGGUAUCACGUAAACAAAAACCAACAAACACAUUUUAUGUCAGAUGAAAGCGAGCCUGCAGCAUGUUUCUGUGCUUCCUAUUACAUCUUCCCUUUAUGAGACCAAUGGGGACAUUGUGUUUGUGAGUGUGUGCUCUCAUAGAGACACUGUACUCUCUCUGGCAGUAUCUGGCACCAAAACCAGCUCACAGCAGCUGCACUGGACACAGGCCAGAUCUUCAGAACAUCCAACCAACAACUAACCAAUGAAUGAUUGACUACUUUUUCAAUUACAGAAACGUCCACUGGGGUUUGUGGUUGCAGCCUCUGAGACAGCAAGCCACACCAUGGUGUCAGCCCCCUGCUCGGGUGUCCGAAGGCUGUCCUUCAUAGAGCGAUGGAAGUCGGGCAUGGCGUUGGCCACCGCUGAGACACACAGGCGAGUGGACGGUCACCUGGAGUGUCCACCCAGCCGGGGUGCAUGACAGAAAAGUGGAUGUUGGUGUGAGUUUUUGCCAGCUGCUCCGUCAUCA
Molecule: long non-coding RNA, 966 nt
Organism: Austrofundulus limnaeus
Lineage: Eukaryota; Metazoa; Chordata; Actinopteri; Cyprinodontiformes; Rivulidae
Exons: 3
Source: RefSeq, a predicted model, not a curated record